UAUGUUUGCACCCCUGAAGAGGUUCAACAGCAUUUUCAGUCGUGUGGUACUGUUAACAGAGUCACCAUUCUCACUGACAGAAACGGUCAGCCAAAGGGUUUUGCUUAUGUCGAAUUAUUGGAAGUUGAGGCAGUCCAAGAAGCCUUUCGGUUGCAUGAGUCUGAGCUUCAUGGUUGUCCAAUCAAGGUUGCCGCCAAAUGAACCAACGUUCCAGGGCUGAAGCAGUUCCGUCCUCCGUGACAUAAUCCCUACCCGAUGUAUCCAUAUAGCAGGCCUCACAUGCCAUCCUGAUGUCGGGGUUUGUGGACAAAGAAGCAGUUGCAGUUACCAGUGUGUCUCAGAAGGCAACUUUCUACAAUGGACCAAGCUCUACGGACUUCAUAAAUGUCCAUGAAAUUUUUCUUGAAUGUGAUCAUGAUUCAGUAAGCUUCCAGAAGAUAAUAUAGUGUUGUUUGAUCAAAGAUUUUGAUGCAUUACUUUUACUACCUUUGUUUAGAUCAUAUACCUUGGGAAGUCUUUUGAACCAACAAUAUAUGAUCUUUUGGGUGAUCAAGAGGUUUGUAAUCUGGACUUUUCUGAAAACUUUGUAAUAUCUUCUUUCUGCUAUGCUUCUUGGUUAUUUUGGAAUCUUUCUGCCACAAUUUUGCAAUGCAAGGUUGAAA
Molecule: long non-coding RNA, 662 nt
Organism: Zingiber officinale
Lineage: Eukaryota; Viridiplantae; Streptophyta; Magnoliopsida; Zingiberales; Zingiberaceae
Exons: 2
Source: RefSeq, a predicted model, not a curated record